UUUUUUGCUUUGUAGGGCCACACUUGCAGCAUAUGGAGAUUCCCAGGCUAUGGGUCUAUGUGGUGUAGCUGCCAGCCUACACUACAGCCAUAGCAACGCCAUAUCUGAGCCACAUCUGCAAGCUACACCACAGCUCAUGGUAACACUGGAUCCUUACCCCAUUGAGCAAGGCCAGAGGUCGAACCCGCAACCUCACGGUUCCAAGUUGGAUUCGUUAACCACAGAGCCACAGCGGGAACUCCUGUGUUUUUUCUCUUUAGGGCCACAUGGGCGGCACAUGGAAGUUCCCAGGCUAGGGGCUGAAUGGGAGCUGCAACUGCCUGCCUACACCUAUGCCAGAUCCUUAACCCACUGAGCGGGACCAGGGAUCAGACCUACAACCUCAUGGAUACUAGUUGGGUUCGUUAUCUCUGAGCCUCAACAGUAACUCCCCUCACACUUGCUUUAAUGCUCUGCUGUCACCUUCAUGGAAUUCUUUUGGGGGAGAGGGGCUGCACCUGCAGCACACCUUCCCCUGGCCAAGGAUUGAAUCUGAGCCACAGCUGGGACCCACGCCACCGCUAUGGCAACACCAGAUUCCUAACCCACUGUGUCAGGCCAGGGAUCGACCCCACACAGCCACAGAGACAAUGCUGGAUCCUUAACCCACUGUGCCACAACAGGAACUCUCAUGAUAUUCUUUAAACAGGGGGCUCUGAAAUUUCACUUUGCAUUGGGCCUGAAAAUUACAUAGCAGGUCAUACAAGGGGGCAAGAUAAAGGCAGGAAAACCUGUCAGGAUGCUAUAGUUGGAGUAGGAGAUAAUGAGGGGGAUAAAUUAAUCUUGUCAUAACAGUAAUAUAGAUGCACACUGUUCUUUUCAACACCUACCUAGUGUUCCUCUGCUUAGAUGUAGCAGUUUCCCCAGUUGGAAAAUAUUUAGGUUGAUUUUGAUCUUUCGUAAUUACAAAGAAGGCUAAAAUGAAUGAUUUUAGACAUUUGUCUGUGUAUAUAUUCAAGGAUUAUCUGUCUAGGGCAAAUUCUCGAAAUUAGAAUUGAUGAGUCAAAGGUAUGUUCAUUUUCAAGGUUGACAGGUAUUGGUAAUUUGUAUUCCAAAGAGAGUCUACCAAUUUAUAUCCCUUCUUGUAAUACUUUCAUGGUGCCCUAUUUAAUACUCUGUAAUAUCCAACUGUUUGAUAUUUGCAGUCUCAUAGGUGAGAAAGCAAUAGCUCAUUGUUCCAAUUUGCCUCUCUUUAAUUACAAAUGAAGUUGGACUUAAAAAAAAAAAAGAAUAUAAGGAGUUCCCUGGGGGCCUAGUGACUAAGGAAUCAGCAUUGUCCCUGCUGUGACUCUAAUUCAAUCCCCACCCUGGGAACUUCCACACAUACCUCAUGCCCCCAGGCAAAACCAAAAACAAACAAAAAAAUAUAAGUCCAUACUUCUGUUUACCCGAAGCCCAUUUUGUACUUUGCCUUUUUUUUUUUUUUUUUUUUUUUUUUUUUUUUUUUUUUUUUUUNNNNNNUUUUUGUCUUUUGUUGUUGUUGUUGUUGUGGCUAUUUCUUGGGCCGCACCCGCGACAUAUGGAUAGACCUAGAGAUUAUCAUACUAAAUGAAGCAAGCCAAAGACAAAUAUAUGAUAUUGCUUAUGUGUGGAAUCUUAAAAAAAAUUAUAUAAAUGCACUUAUAUACAUAACAGAAACAGAUACAGAUCUAGAAACAGAUAUAAAAACAUUUAUGGUUACCAAAGGGGAAAGGGAGAGGGAGGGAUAAACUAGGCAUUUGGGAUUAACAUAUACACACUACUAUACAUAAAACAGAUAAACAACAAGGACUGACUAUAUAGCACAGGGAAUUAUACUCAGUGUUUUGCAAUAAUCUAAAAGAGAAAGAAUCUGAAAAAGAAUAUAUAUAUAUGUGAAUGUGAGUAUAACUAAAUCAUUUUGCUGUACACCUGAAACUAACACAUUAUAAACCAACUGCACUUCAAUUUUUUAAAAAAGAAAGAUGUUUCUUUGUUCUAAAAAUCUUCUAUUGGCUUUUUCCCUCAAAGAGGUACCCCUUCCCUUCAUAGCCCUCAUCCCCUAAUACCUUCACUCUUCUUCCAUUCCAACCACACUGGUCUCCAAGUUGUUCCUCAAACCUCCCUGGCAUGCUCUGUCCCAUAAGUUUUUCACUUGCUAGUCCCUCUACUGAGUUCAUUUCUCUUCCCUUCUUGUUCCUUCAGGUCUUUACUUCUUCCUGAGGCUUUUCCUGACUGAUCUAUCUAAAAUCUUACCCCACACACACCUACACCUUUCAGCUUUCAUAUCCCAGUUCCUUGCUUUUCUCAACAGCUAUUACUAACUUUCUUUCUUUCUUUCUUUCUACACAUGUUAUUUUGUUUGUUUUCUGUAACACUCAGUGUAAGUUCCAUGAAAGGAGGUUUUGAUUUGAUUUGUUCACUGCUCUAUCCAAGCAGCUAGAGCAGUGCUGGGCAUAUAGUAGGUGUUUAAUAAAUAUUUGUUGAACAAUUUGUUGAAAUGCUAUCAUGUCACUGUUUUAUUCAAAACACUUCAGUGAUGUCCUAUGGCUAAUAACAAGGUUCUCAAACCUUUUGGUCUCAGGAUUGCCUUCACGCUCUUAAAAGUUAUUGAGGACUCCAAAGAACCUUUGUUUAUGUGGAUUAUAUCUAUUGACAAUUACCACACUAGAAAUCAAAGUUGAGAAAUUUUAAAAUAUUUACAUAUUAAUUUAUUUUAAAUAAUAAUAAAUGUGUGAAUAUCGAUAACAUUUUAAUGAAAAAUAACCACAUUUUUCAAAACCAAAAAAAAAAAUUUAGCAAGAAUGAUAUUGUUUUACAGUCUUGAAAACCUAUUUAAAGUCUGAUGUAAUACAAGGUAGUUCUACUCUCAUAUCUAUUUCUGCAGUCAAUCUGUCAUGACAUGUCAUGAAGCCUCUGCACAACCACAUAGUCCACUCAUGAGAAAAUGAGAGUCAAAAAGAAAAAUAUAAUGUCUGAGUAUUAUUAGGAAAAUAGUUUUGAUCCCCUAGACCCACUAAAAGGGUCAGAACCACGCUUGAGAAGUGCUGGCCUAGAGCAUGAAGGAGUCCACAAAUUCCUUCACAUGACAUUAACAUCUAUCCAUGCCUUUGUACACACAGUUUCCUUCCCACUCUAUAUAGCACACUCAUCCAAGGCCCAUCUCACCUCCUUCCAUCUCUAGACAGUUGUUCCCUCCUCUCUACCCCCAGAAUAUUUUUCUAUUCUCUCUUAUAGCAUAUAUUAUGGUAUUUUCUUGCUGUUCAUUUAAGCGUCUAUCUUCCCAAUGGAUUAUCUUUCUAAAGAAAGCAACUAUAACCUAAUCUCCUUUAUAUCCCCUGCCCAGAUAGCACCCAAAAGAUAUUUAAUAAAUAUUUGUGGAAUAAAGAAAUAAGAAAGAUGAUGAAGAAAGAGAAGGCUGGCUCCAGUUUCCCUACAGGGAGCUCUGGCACUGAUAUAAUUAAUGCUUCUUGAUAAGAUUACCAACACCUCUUUUAUAACAUCUGCUCCAUUAACUAUGUAGUUUACAAACUGAAUCCCAACCGUUCAUGCGGUCUUCCUCAUAAAGUGGAGAGGGCAGGGUCAUUAGUUUUAUUUUACAAAUGAGGAAACCAAGGUCAAAGAGAUGAAAUGAUUUGCCCCAAAGUUCACAACAAAUUACUGACAGUCAAUAUUCUGGUAUCUGAAUCUAAGUUC
This 3693-nucleotide long non-coding RNA is filed under the name Sus scrofa (pig). RNAcentral describes it as "lncRNA (ENSSSCG00045010498.1)". The record is from RNAcentral. Lineage: Eukaryota; Metazoa; Chordata; Mammalia; Artiodactyla; Suidae.